AAAUUAUCAACCAUGACUUGGGUUUAGGCCCUCGUUCUUGGCUUGGAUUUGGGUGCUUGCGGUCUUGCGCUGCUCACCUUAAAAGGAUUAGCUGGACAUGUCGUAAGACUUGGUUCUACUUGGCGUAAUAAGUAUUUCGCUGAGGACAUCCCUUCUGGGGUGGCCAAGACUCUCAACAAACGUCUGCUUUCUAACCCGACUGUCUUUGGACAUCACUUUUUAUG
Molecule: unclassified non-coding RNA, 224 nt
Filed under: uncultured Cryptococcus
Lineage: Eukaryota; Fungi; Basidiomycota; Tremellomycetes
Description: sequence contains ITS2
Source: RNAcentral